GACGAACGCUGGCGGCGUGCCUAAUACAUGCAAGUCGAGCGAAGUUUUUCUGGUGCUUGCACUAGAAAAACUUAGCGGCGAACGGGUGAGUAACACGUAAAGAACCUGCCUCAUAGACUGGGACAACUAUUGGAAACGAUAGCUAAUACCGGAUAACAGUAUUUCUCGCAUGAGAGAUAUUUAAAAGUUGGUUAUGCUAACACUAUGAGAUGGCUUUGCGGUGCAUUAGCUAGUUGGUGGGGUAAAGGCCCACCAAGGCGACGAUGCAUAGCCGACCUGAGAGGGUGAUCGGCCACACUGGGACUGAGACACGGCCCAGACUCCUACGGGAGGCAGCAGUAGGGAAUCUUCCGCAAUGGGCGAAAGCCUGACGGAGCAACGCCGCGUGAGUGAAGAAGGAUUUCGGUUCGUAAAGCUCUGUUGUUAGGGAAGAAUGGAUAUGUAGUAACUAUACA
RNAcentral lists this ribosomal RNA (455 nucleotides) under Gemella morbillorum. RNAcentral describes it as "bacterial SSU rRNA". It matches the Rfam family "Bacterial small subunit ribosomal RNA", at positions 28 to 470 of the family's 1533-position model. Lineage: Bacteria; Bacillati; Bacillota; Bacilli; Caryophanales; Gemellaceae. The record is from RNAcentral. RNAcentral also lists the same sequence under 1 other name.